UAUUGGGCAAUGGGCGCAAGCCUGACCCAGCAACGCCGCGUAAAGGAAGAAGGCUUUCGGGUUGUAAACUUCUUUUGACAGGGAAGAGCAGAAGACGGUACCUGUCGAAUAAGCCACGGCUAACUACGUGCCAGCAGCCGCGGUAAUACGUAGGUGGCAAGCGUUGUCCGGAUUUACUGGGUGUAAAGGGCGUGCAGCCGGGAGUACAAGUCAGAUGUGAAAUCCCGCGGCUCAACCGCGGAACUGCAUUUGAAACUGUAUUUCUUGAGUACUGGAGAGGCAGACGGAAUUCCUAGUGUAGCGGUGAAACGCGUAGAUAUUAGGAGGAACACCAGUGGCGAAGGCGGUCUGCUGGACAGCAACUGACGGUGAGGCGCGAAAGCGUGGGGAGCAAACAGG
This 399-nucleotide ribosomal RNA is filed under the name uncultured bacterium. RNAcentral describes it as "bacterial SSU rRNA". It matches the Rfam family "Bacterial small subunit ribosomal RNA", at positions 362 to 776 of the family's 1533-position model. The record is from RNAcentral.